This 448-nucleotide ribosomal RNA is filed under the name uncultured bacterium. RNAcentral describes it as "bacterial SSU rRNA". It matches the Rfam family "Bacterial small subunit ribosomal RNA", at positions 55 to 527 of the family's 1533-position model. The record is from RNAcentral.
AUGCAGUCGUACGAGAGUUUUUAACUCUAGUGGCGGACGGGUGAGUAACACGUGAGAAUUUACCUUUAGGAGGGGGAUAACAGCGUAUCAAUAGAUAUUACGGAAACGGCUGCUAAUACCCCAUAUGCUUUUGAGUGAAAUAGAUUUUUCUGCCUAAAGAGAAGCUCGCGGCUGAUUAGCUUGUUGGUAAGGUAAUGGCUUACCAAGGCGACGAUCAGUAUCUGGUUUGAGAGGACGAUCAGACACACUGGAACUGAGACACGGUCCAGACUCCUACGGGAGGCAGCAGUGGGGAAUUUUCCGCAAUGGGCGAAAGCCUGACGGAGCAAUACCGCGUGAGGGAAGACGGCCUAUGGGUUGUAAACCUCUUUUUUCAGGGAGGAAUUCAAUGACGUGUACCUGAGGAAUAAGCAUCGGCUAACUCCGUGCCAGCAGCCGCGGUAAUACG